RNAcentral lists this ribosomal RNA (510 nucleotides) under uncultured bacterium. RNAcentral's name for it is "bacterial SSU rRNA". It matches the Rfam family "Bacterial small subunit ribosomal RNA", at positions 449 to 957 of the family's 1533-position model. The record is from RNAcentral.
CCGUGACUAAUAAUCAUGGUUCAUGACGGUAUCAACAGAAGAAGCACCGGCUAACUACGUGCCAGCAGCCGCGGUAAUACGUAGGGUGCAAGCGUUAAUCGGAAUUACUGGGCGUAAAGGGUGCGCAGGCGGUUCUGUAAGUCAGAUGUGAAAUCCCCGGGCUUAACCUGGGAACUGCGUUUGAAACUGCAGAGCUAGAGUGCGGCAGAGGGAGGUGGAAUUCCAUGUGUAGCAGUGAAAUGCGUAGAGAUAUGGAAGAACAUCGAUGGCGAAGGCAACCUCCUGGGCUAGCACUGACGCUCAUGCACGAAAGCGUGGGGAGCAAACAGGAUUAGAUACCCUGGUAGUCCACGCCCUAAACUAUGUCAACUAGUUGUCGGGCCUUAAUAGGCUUGGUAACGUAGCUAACGCGUGAAGUUGACCGCCUGGGGAGUACGGUCGCAAGAUUAAAACUCAAAGGAAUUGACGGGGACCCGCACAAGCGGUGGAUUAUGUGGAUUAAUUCGAUGC